Mercenaria mercenaria is the source of this 2777-nucleotide long non-coding RNA. RefSeq lists it as uncharacterized. The record is from RefSeq and is a predicted model, not a curated record. NCBI's taxonomy places the organism in Eukaryota, Metazoa, Mollusca, Bivalvia, Venerida, Veneridae. The transcript is spliced from 2 exons.
AUUGCAUUUAGUAAAUAUUCAAAUGUUAGGGAUAUGGUAGGAUAAGGCUAAAAGAAAAAAAACUGGCUAUUGGUUUCAGAAAACUGCCAUAUCCCCACAUUUUAAGGAUGGUUUUGGCCAUGUAUUUUUGGACUAAAUUUCAGUAGAUAGGGAUGAUAAUAGCAUAAGGUUAUAACUGCCACUGUUUGUAUGAAUGUGCAUUGUAUGAUUGUGUUUAAGUCAGCCCUGAUCACAUAACAAGGUAACAGAAAUUGUCAUAUCAUUGUAUGUGUGCAACAAUUGUAGCCAGGCUGUUCACAAAGUUUGGUGAAAAUCUAUCAGUUAGAGAGGGCUGCAUCUCUGGUCACAUCAUUCUUACAUGUUUAUACAAUAUUAAAGUUUUUUUUGACACUGCUUAAAUAUUACGACUUUGAUACUGGUAACAUUAAAGUUGGUUAUGAAUAAACUGGUUAAAAAUAGAAUAAUAUUUCUUUGUGUUUCUUGUAUGCUUUAUAAUAUUUUGAUAAUCUUAGCUGUUAGGGAUGUGGUAGAAUAAUGCUAAGUUUUUAAUACUGGCUACAGGUUUUUCAUGAAAAGUACCAUAUCACCACAUUUCACUUAUAAGGGCAAUUUUGGCAACAUUUAUUCAUUUUUGUACUAAAUUUCAGAGAUAGGAAUAAUAUAGUUGCUGUAGAAAAAAAUAGGAAAAUUAACAUAUUAAUUAUUUUUGUAAGUUGUAUAUAAACAAAUAAAGUGUGUUUGAGCUGUGUGCAAGAAAUUUUGCGUGUGUUCCUGACUGCUGAUGAGAUACUUUUGCAAAAAGACUGCCAGAAAUUUUGGCUUUUUGGCUUGUAUAGAGACUGGCAGCUGACCUUGGACGUGUAGUAUACAUUUUUUUUAUUCUAGCCACUGUCAAACUUGACAGUCUUAAGGAUGCAAUACUACCAUGUCAUAGUGCUUGCACAUGAUAAUGUAGCAAGUUAAGCCAUUGAAGUUUGGAGAAAAUCCACAAAUUGUAAGUUUACUAGCAAGUUAAAGAAUGACACGAGUUUAGCUGUCAUAUUUUUCAGCAUUUUAGUUUAAACCAUUGUUGUUAAUUAUUGAGUUAUUUUAUCAUUUAUCAUAUAAAAAUCAUUCUAUAGGUCUGUGGUAGAAUGGGGCAGUUAUUUAAUCAUAAGGAUAGUAACUGGCUACAGGUCUACAUGUAAAACUACCACUUCUUGCAUUUAAUAAUCUUAUGUUAGUGAUAUGGUAGGAUAAAGAAAUACUGGCAACUGGUUUCAGAAAUCUACCAUAUCACAAUAUUUCAAGGGACGUUUUGGCCUCGCGGUGCUUUAAACAUUCUUAUUUUAUUUUCAGUAGCUGCACUGCCUGGAUUUUUGAACAUUUUUUAUCUAAAUUUCAAAAAGUAGGGAUGACAUGGUAGAAUAAAGUUUAAUGUCAGUGAUUGAAUUUUUAUUAAAAUAUCAAUAUGUAGGUAAAUUUUGACAUGUUUCAAGUAUAAAGGAUCAUAGAAUAAAUGGUAACUGAUUUUUUAUAAUAACACUGUUAAAUAUAGUGAAUGAAUGUUCAGUGAAUGAAUGAUGAUUGAAUUACUGAGCAAAAGGGGUGGAUGAAUGUUGAAUGAAUUAUCUUGUAAAACACCAUGAGUGAAUGGUGAAUGAAUUACCUUGUAAAACACAGUGUUUGAAUACUAAAUUCAAAAUUGCUUUUUAAACAAUGGACAGACUGUAGUUAAAGCAGUGAUAUUGUAAAACAGUGGCAGUAUUAGAUUUUGUUGUCACAGGAGUUACAAUUGAAAUUUGAUUAAAUUUAUAAGCAGGUUUAUUUUGUAACAUACAUUGUGGAAAGUUCUUUUAGUAGGUUUAAUUAAUACUGACAAGGUCUUUUAGUUGGUUUAAUUUAUAAAAUACAGUGGCAAGGUAUUUUAGUUAGUUCAGUUUGUAACACAGUGGCAAUGACUUUUAGUGGGUUUGAUUUGUAAAAUACAGUGGCAAGAUCUUUUAAUGGGAUUAAGUUUCAAGGUGUUUAAGUGGAUUUAAGACUGUUUAGUCUGUAUAAGGGAUAUAACUGUGUUGAGUUUUCAUAUAUUUGCAUAUUCUGCCUGGCUAAACCUAUUAGUGGUAUUUAUCUUGGAAAUAUUUUUCUUUUUUCAAAUAAUUGUAUAUUGUCAGUCUCAAGUUCUUUUCUUUCUCUUGCUUAAUUUUUUCAAGGCAAAUGUCUGAAUUCUAGAGUUAAGACCAAUGAAUCAGUCAUUUUGGCAUGCUUGUUCAAAGAUUAAUUCAAAAACUAGUUACUGUAAUUAAAAUGACAGAAAUGAAAUUUAUAAUUGUGCCUGUAGAUUUAAGGCCCUCCACAUUUGUGAUAUUUUUAUGCCCCCGAAGGGAGGCAUAUAGUUUUUGAACCAUCUGUCGGUCUGUCAGUCUGUCCGCAAUUUUCGUGUCCGGUCCAUAUCUUUGUCAUCGAUGGAUGGAUUUUCAAAUAACUUGGCAUGAAUGUGUACCACAGUAAGACGUGUCGCGCGCAAGACCCAGGUCCGUAGCUCAAAGGUCAAGGUCACACUUAGACGUUAAAGGUCACUUUUCAUGAUAGUGCAUUCGUGUCCGGUCCAUAUCUUUGUCAUCCAUGGAUGGAUUUUCAAAUAACUUGGCAUGAAUGUGUACCACAGUAAGACGUGUCGCGCGCAAGACCCAGGUCCGUAGGUCAAAGGUCCUAAACUCUAACAUCGGCCAUAACUAUUCAUUCAAAGUGCCAUCGGGGGCAUGUGUCAUCCUAUGGAGACAGCUCUUGUUUAUUAU